UACGUAGGCGGGAAAUUAAGUCAGUAGUGAAAUCCCACAGCUUAACUGCGGAACUGUUAUUGAUACUGGUUUUCUUGAAUAUAGUUGAGGUAGGCGGAAUGUGUAAUGUAGCGGUGAAAUGCUUAGAUAUUACACAGAACACCGAUUGCGAAGGCAGCUUACUAAGCUAUGAUUGACGCUGAGGUACGAAAGCGUGGGGAGCGAACAGGAUUAGAUACCCUGGUAGUCC
Molecule: ribosomal RNA, 229 nt
Filed under: uncultured bacterium
Lineage: Bacteria
Description: partial 16S ribosomal RNA
Rfam family: Bacterial small subunit ribosomal RNA
Source: RNAcentral